UGGCGGCGUGCCUAAUACAUGCAAGUCGAGCGGACCAAAGGGAGCUUGCUCCUGGAGGUCAGCGGCGAACGGGUGAGUAACACGUGGGCAACCUGCCUGUAAGACUGGGAUAACAUCGAGAAAUCGGUGCUAAUACCGGAUAAUAAAAAGAACUGCAUGGUUCUUUUUUGAAAGAUGGUUUCGGCUAUCACUUACAGAUGGGCCCGCGGCGCAUUAGCUAGUUGGUGAGGUAACGGCUCACCAAGGCAACGAUGCGUAGCCGACCUGAGAGGGUGAUCGGCCACACUGGGACUGAGACACGGCCCAGACUCCUACGGGAGGCAGCAGUAGGGAAUCUUCCGCAAUGGACGAAAGUCUGACGGAGCAACGCCGCGUGAGUGAUGAAGGUUUUCGGAUCGUAAAACUCUGUUGUUAGGGAAGAACAAGUGCCGUUCGAAAGGGCGGCACCUUGACGGUACCUAACGAGAAAGCCACGGCUAACUACGUG
Molecule: ribosomal RNA, 487 nt
Filed under: uncultured bacterium
Lineage: Bacteria
Description: bacterial SSU rRNA
Rfam family: Bacterial small subunit ribosomal RNA
Source: RNAcentral